Molecule: ribosomal RNA, 301 nt
Filed under: uncultured bacterium
Lineage: Bacteria
Description: partial 16S ribosomal RNA
Rfam family: Bacterial small subunit ribosomal RNA
Source: RNAcentral
CAGUCGCCGCGGGAAUACAGAGGGUGCGAGCGUUAAUCGGAUUUACUGGGCGUAAAGCGUGCGUAGGCGGCUUUUUAAGUCGGAUGUGAAAUCCCUAAGCUUAACUUAGGAAUUGCAUUCGAUACUGGGAAGCUAGAGUAUGGGAGAGGAUGGUAGAAUUCCAGGUGUAGCGGUGAAAUGCGUAGAGAUCUGGAGGAAUACCGAUGGCGAAGGCAGCCAUCUGGCCUAAUACUGACGCUGAGGUACGAAAGCAUGGGGAGCAAACAGGAUUAGAUACCCCGGUAGUCCCUGUCUCUUAUAC